GGCAGUCUAUGUAUCAAAAGCAAGCUAAUACCUUUUCAUCUAAAAUUGGAAACUCGUUCUAAAUCAUGUCAUACUGCUACGUAAUUGAAUUUAACCUGAAAUCUAAAGCAGUUAGACAACUUCCAGGUUGAAGCAAUACCAUUUUCACUUAUACCUAAUCAUCUCAGCUUAUCAUGGUAGACCCCAAAUCAUAAUAGCUAGGACCCAAUCCUGUACUGCCCCUGUAAAGGCCUUAAUUGCAGAAUGAAUAAAUUCUCAUGACUACACAUCUAAUUUAAGUUCUCUAGACGGUUAUUUAAUAUUAACAAUAUGUCUAAUCCCUGAAGGGUUAAGAAUCCCUGAAGGGUUAAGGUUUUUAUUUGGCCAAGGAUUCUUCAUAGGAUGCAAACUUCAUCUAAUGAUGUAUGUGUUAUGUGCCUUAAUAGCUGUGAGACUUGUGGCCAUCUUUUCUCAAAUUGCAUUUGUUAGUAGGUGUCUUUGAAAUUGGCUAUUACACAUGUCAAUUCAUUUCAAUCGUUCUAGGAUGAGAAAGGAGGCGAAGGUCCUGUGGAGAAGCACAAUUUUCGUAGCCAUCUGGUGUGUUUGGACAAUGAAAAAACGCAAACACUUUUAGCAGUUUAUGAGGAUGCAUUAUCCUCCUUGAGCUUCUUGUCUGAAAUUU
This 661-nucleotide unclassified non-coding RNA is filed under the name Hevea brasiliensis (rubber tree). The record is from RNAcentral. Lineage: Eukaryota; Viridiplantae; Streptophyta; Magnoliopsida; Malpighiales; Euphorbiaceae.